CCAAAGGAGUUUUUAGACUCCACAAACAGGGUUAGGGCGUUGACA
Molecule: non-coding RNA, 45 nt
Organism: Gossypium raimondii (Peruvian cotton)
Lineage: Eukaryota; Viridiplantae; Streptophyta; Magnoliopsida; Malvales; Malvaceae
Source: Rfam